AAAGAUUAAGCCAUGCAUGUAUAAGUAUAAACGCAUUAAGCGUGAAACCGCGAACGGCUCAUUACAACAGCUAUAAUUUACUUGAUCUUGACAAACUUACAUGGAUAACUGAGGUAAUUCUUGAGCUAAUACAUGCACCAAAGCUUUGCCCGUAAGGGAAGAGCGCAUUUAUUAGAACAAAACCAAACGGCUUCGGCUGUUCCCAGUUGAAUCAGAAUAACUCAGCUGAUCGUACGGUCUUGCACCGACGACGUGUCUUUCAAGUAUCUGCUUUAUCAACUUUCGAUGGUAGGGUAUCUGCCUACCAUGGUGGUGACGGAUAACGGAGGAUCAGGGUUCGACUCCGGAGAAGGGGCCUGAGAAAUGGCCACUACGUCUAAGGAUGGCAGCAGGCGCGCAAAUUACCCACUCUCAGAAUUUGGAGGAGGUAGUGACGAGAAAUAACGAGGUUGAUCUCUUCUGAGGCCAACCAUCGGAAUGGGUACAAUUUAAACCCUUUAACGAGUAUCUAUGAGAGGGCAAGUCUGGUGCCAGCAGCCGCGGUAAUUCCAGCUCUCAAAAUGCAUAGAAUUAUUGCUGCGGUUAAAAAGCUCGUAGUUGGAUCUGCAGCCGGAGCUCCGGUCUAUCUACGGAUAUGUACUGGAUGUCUUUGGCUUUCUGACAGUGUUCGGCUCUGUGCCUCUCAACAGGUGUGGAUGUCCGAUACUGUAAGUUUACUUUGAAUAAAUCAGAGUGCUCUAAACAGGCGUUUUGCUUGAAUGAUUGUGCAUGGAAUAAUAGAAGAGGAUUUCGGUUCUAUUUUAUUGGUUUUAUAGACUGAGAUAAUGGUUAACAGAGACAAACGGGGGCAUUUGUAUGGCUACGUGAGAGGUGAAAUUCUUGGACCGUAGCCAGACAAACUACAGCGAAAGCAUUUGCCAAGAAUG
Molecule: ribosomal RNA, 926 nt
Filed under: Pratylenchus penetrans
Lineage: Eukaryota; Metazoa; Nematoda; Chromadorea; Rhabditida; Pratylenchidae
Description: SSU rRNA
Rfam family: Eukaryotic small subunit ribosomal RNA
Source: RNAcentral